GACAGAGGUGCCAAGCGUUAGGCGGAAUCACUGGGCUUAAAGCGUGUGUAGGUGGAUUCGUAAGUACCUUGUGAAAUCCCAUGGCUCAACCAUGGAACUGCUCGGUAUACUGCGAAUCUUGAGCCACUUAGGGGCUACCGGAACAAAUGGUGGAGCGGUGAAAUGCGUAGAUAUCAUUUGGAACGCCAAUGGUGAAAACAGGUAGCUGGGAGUGUGCUGACACUGAGACACGAAAGCCAGGGGAGCGAACGGG
RNAcentral lists this ribosomal RNA (253 nucleotides) under uncultured bacterium. RNAcentral's name for it is "partial 16S ribosomal RNA". It matches the Rfam family "Bacterial small subunit ribosomal RNA", at positions 524 to 776 of the family's 1533-position model. The record is from RNAcentral.